UGCACCUUACUUAUACAGUAUAAGGUUGAUGCCUUGUAGAAACUUAUAAAUGGAUGAAAUGUUAGUUGAAAUUUUAAGUUUAUUUUGAUAAAUUUCUCAAUUAUUUUUCUGUGUACGAUGCGUGAUGUAAUUGUUGGAGCAUAUUCCCAUCUACCUUGAUUUUCAGUUUAUAGCAGCAUAGAAUGGUGAUUAUAUAAAGAUAAUGGUGAUAUGUAUCAGUAGUGGCAUCUUCCAUGGAACCUAUUCCCAUCCACCUUGAUUUUCAGUUUAUAGCAGCAUAGAAUGGUGAUUAUAUAAAGAUAAUGGUGAUAUGUAUCAGUAGUGGCAUCUUUCAAGUUUGUUUAGCUCUCAUGUAGUACAUGCAUCUUCAAUGUAGAUGAGUACGAGUCCAUAUACAUACAUAUGCGCUACAAAAUGGGAUCAAUGAUCAUGGAAUCCCCUUAGAAGAAGGGAAUAUUAAUCAAUAACAAUUUGAUAGUUGACAACUCAGAAACCAGCUCUCACAGCUCCUUGUCCAAAGUGCCCCAUUAAAUAGAAGUUGAUACAACCCCAAGCUGCUCCUUCUUGCCUCUUCCGAUAUGGUAUUUUUUCAAGCACAAAGAAAGAGAGAAUGAGUUCUCGACUGUGAUCUUGAUCAAUAUGAAACCCAAAUUAGUAAGUUAUAUUAUGACCAGAAGACAAACAGCUUAUGACUAUUAGAAAGUCUUGACAAACAGCUUAUGACUAUAUUCCCUUCUGUUUCCCAUCUUUUCUCAUCAACAGAGCAUGCAUGCAUAGGUGACUAGAGAUUGCAGUUCAUGAUUUUGAGAAUAUCCAUAAAGCUAUCGUAUCAUGUAAUAUUCAGAUUGUAGCUUACCCUAUUCACCUUUUGGUUUAUUCUUGUCUGUUAUCCUAUGGAUAUUUUAAUCUUUUUACACUCUUACCCCCGUAGGACCUGUCAUUUGUCAAUGAGAAUCUGUUAUUCUCUCAGACCUCCCGAGCAUGAACCAAACUCAGAUAACCUAAGGUUUCUGUGAGGAAUAGUGUGCUAUUCAUAAAUCAUAAAUGGUGAAUCCAGAUACCUCCACUACUGUGGUAACUGAAUGUAAAUCUCUUUUACCCUCUAAACCAUCCUUCUGAGAUAUUCCACCAAAUGGCAUCACUCUUUCUUUGACUUUUCAGCAACUAAAGCUACACUCUUCUUUAUUUUGAAUUAAGUUGCCAAACUCUGUUGCCUAUUUCAUGGUCUGGUCCGACUGGCUGUCUUUGUAGUGAUUUUCAACAGACAUAUCGCCUUACGAGUUAUGACCAUUGCUACUAUCCCUACACAGUGAAUGAUAGAACUGAAUUAGUUUCUGAUUCUAGAUGCCUUUUUAAUUUUUAUAAUGAACCUAAGCUUCUGUAGCAUGUAUUGUUAUUCCCGAGUUUUAUGCCAUGCUUCUCUGGCUUUAUCAUCUGCCGUUUUAUAUGUUUGUUUAGAAGGUAAUGAUUUUCUGAAGAGAUUGUACAAUUACAUAUCCACCUUGCUGCUUGAAUGUUGUACUACCUGCUGCCACGUGCACAUUGGAUUGUCAGCCUAGCAGUAAGUCAACAUAUCAGGAAGUCAUUGUAUCCAAAUUUGCUCAGCGAUUUUUAUGUGGAAAAGUGAUAAUGUAAUUAUAUCUGUUUUUAAAUCCACAUUUGUUUUGAGGUUGUGCUCAUGGUGUUCAGUUGAAUUUAAUGAUAAAAAAUGAUUUUUGGUUGAAGUUUAGAACAUCUGAAUCCCCUGUGUUGACUUUUAGCAAUUCAACCUGCAUUCCUUGUUUCCUGACAUUGAAUCUGUUUUUUUUUUUGGUUUGGGGGGCUGGGGGUGUGGUGGGGGUUCUUACAGG
This 1850-nucleotide long non-coding RNA is filed under the name Amborella trichopoda. Its description in RNAcentral is "long non-coding RNA (ATRI_LNC002319)". The record is from RNAcentral. Lineage: Eukaryota; Viridiplantae; Streptophyta; Magnoliopsida; Amborellales; Amborellaceae.